RNAcentral lists this ribosomal RNA (547 nucleotides) under uncultured bacterium. RNAcentral's name for it is "partial 16S ribosomal RNA". It matches the Rfam family "Bacterial small subunit ribosomal RNA", at positions 355 to 920 of the family's 1533-position model. The record is from RNAcentral.
UGGGGAAUAUUGGACAAUGGGCGCAAGCCUGAUCCAGCAAUGCCGCGUGAGUGAUGAAGGCCUUAGGGUUGUAAAGCUCUUUCGCACGCGACGAUGAUGACGGUAGCGUGAGAAGAAGCCCCGGCUAACUUCGUGCCAGCAGCCGCGGUAAUACGAAGGGGGCUAGCGUUGUUCGGAAUUACUGGGCGUAAAGGGCGCGUAGGCGGCCUGUUUAGUCAGAAGUGAAAGCCCCGGGCUCAACCUGGGAAUAGCUUUUGAUACUGGCAGGCUUGAGUUCCGGAGAGGAUGGUGGAAUUCCCAGUGUAGAGGUGAAAUUCGUAGAUAUUGGGAAGAACACCGGUGGCGAAGGCGGCCAUCUGGACGGACACUGACGCUGAGGCGCGAAAGCGUGGGGAGCAACAGGAUUAGAUACCCUGGUAGUCCACGCCGUAAACGAUGAAUGCUAGACGUCGGGGUGCAUGCACUUCGGUGUCGCCGCUAACGCAUUAAGCAUUCCGCCUGGGGGAGUACGGCCGCAAGGUUAAAACUUAAAUGAAUUGACGGGGUC